UUCCGGUUGAUCCCGCCGGACCUGACUGCUAUCGGAUUGAUACUAAGCCAUGCGAGUCUUUGCAGUAAUGCAAGGCAUACGGCUCAGUAACACGUAGUCAACUUACCCUAUGGACGAGGAUAAUCUCGGGAAACUGAGCAUAAUACUCGAUAGAUCAUAAUGCCUGGAAUGGUUUAUGGUUAAAAUGAUUCGUCGCCAUAGGAUGGGACUGCGGCCUAUCAGCUUGUUGGUGAGGUAAUGGCCCACCAAGGCGAUUACAGGUACGGGCUCUGAGAGGAGAAGCCCGGAGAUGGGUACUGAGACAAGGACCCAGGCCCUAUGGGGCGCAGCAGGCGAGAAAACUUUGCAAUGUGCGAAAGCACGACAAGGUUAGUCCGAGUGAUUUCUGCUAAAGAGAUCUUUUGCUAGUUAUAAAACCACUAGUGAAUAAGGGGUGGGCAAGUUCUGGUGUCAGCCGCCGCGGUAAAACCAGCACCUCAAGUGGUCAGGAUGAUUAUUGGGCCUAAAGCAUCCGUAGCCGGCUCUGUAAGUUUUCGGUUAAAUCUAUGCGCUCAACGUAUGGGCUGCCGAAAAUACUGUAGAGAUAGGGAGUGGGAGAGGUAGACGGUACUCGGUAGGAAGGGGUAAAAUCCUUUGAUCUAUCGAUGACCACCUGUGGCGAAGGCGGUCUACCAGAACACGUUCGACGGUGAGGGAUGAAAGCUGGGGGAGCAAACCGGAUUAGAUACCCGGGUAGUCCCAGCUGUAAACGAUGCAGACUCGAUGAUGCAUUGGCAUAUAGCCAGUGCAGUGUCGCAGGGAAGCCGUUAAGUCUGCCGCCUGGGAAGUACGUACGCAAGUAUGAAACUUAAAGGAAUUGGCGGGGGAGCACCACAAGGGGUGAAGCCUGCGGUUCAAUUGGAUUCAACGCCGG
This 913-nucleotide ribosomal RNA is filed under the name uncultured marine archaeon. RNAcentral's name for it is "bacterial SSU rRNA". It matches the Rfam family "Archaeal small subunit ribosomal RNA", at positions 1 to 921 of the family's 1478-position model. The record is from RNAcentral.